This 322-nucleotide ribosomal RNA is filed under the name uncultured eukaryote. RNAcentral's name for it is "partial 18S ribosomal RNA". It matches the Rfam family "Eukaryotic small subunit ribosomal RNA", at positions 1470 to 1796 of the family's 1831-position model. The record is from RNAcentral.
CCCUUAGAUGUUCUAGGCCGCACGCGUGCUACACUGAGUGGAUCAGCGGGUCAGGUUGCGCGAAAGUGUUUCCUAAUCUUUAAAUCCGCUCGUGAUGGGGAUUGACGGUUGCAAUUUUCCGUCAUGAACGAGGAAUACCUUGUAAGCGCGGGUCAUCAUCCCGCGCUGAAUACGUCCCUGCCCUUUGUACACACCGCCCGUCGCUCCUACCGAUUGAGUGGUCCGGUGAGGCUUUGGGAUCUGAGCGGAAAGAGCGUUUCGCUGUUUCUGCCCGGAAAACUCAGUCGAACCUUAUCAUUUAGAGGAAGGAGAAGUCGUAACA